CCUACGGGAGGCAGCAGUGGGGAAUAUUGGACAAUGGGCGAAAGCCUGAUCCAGCCAUGCCGCGUGUGUGAAGAAGGUCUUCGGAUUGUAAAGCACUUUAAGUUGGGAGGAAGGGCAGUAAGUUGAUACCUUGCUGUUUUGACGUUACCGACAGAAUAAGCACCGGCUAACUCUGUGCCAGCAGCCGCGGUAAUA
This 195-nucleotide ribosomal RNA is filed under the name uncultured bacterium. RNAcentral describes it as "partial 16S ribosomal RNA". It matches the Rfam family "Bacterial small subunit ribosomal RNA", at positions 338 to 525 of the family's 1533-position model. The record is from RNAcentral.